GUGGGGAAUAUUGGACAAUGGGCGAAAGCCUGAUCCAGCCAUGCCGCGUGUGUGAAGAAGGUCUUCGGAUUGUAAAGCACUUUAAGUUGGGAGGAAGGGCAGUAAGUUAAUACCUUGCUGUUUUGACGUUACCGACAGAAUAAGCACCGGCUAACUUCGUGCCAGCAGCCGCGGUAAUACGAAGGGUGCAAGCGUUAAUCGGAAUUACUGGGCGUAAAGCGCGCGUAGGUGGUUUUGUAAGUUGGAGGUGAAAUCCCCGGGCUCAACCUGGGAACUGCUUCCAAAACUGCAUGACUAGAGUACGGUAGAGGGUAGUGGAAUUUCCUGUGUAGCGGUGAAAUGCGUAGAUAUAGGAAGGAACACCAGUGGCGAAGGCGACUACCUGGACUGAUACUGACACUGAGGUGCGAAAGCGUGGGGAGCAAACAGGAUUAGAAACCCCGGUAGUCC
Molecule: ribosomal RNA, 450 nt
Filed under: uncultured bacterium
Lineage: Bacteria
Description: bacterial SSU rRNA
Rfam family: Bacterial small subunit ribosomal RNA
Source: RNAcentral